GAGUUUGAUCUUAGCUCAGAUUGAACGCUAGCGGGAUGCCUUACACAUGCAAGUCGAACGGCAGCACGGACUUCGGUCUGGUGGCGAGUGGCGAACGGGUGAGUAAUGUAUCGGAACGUGCCUAGUAGCGGGGGGAUAACUACGCGAAAGCGUAGCUAAUACCGCAUACGCCUACGGGGAAAGCAGGGGAUCGCAAGACCUUGCACUAUUAGAGCGGCCGAUAUCGGAUUAGCUAGUUGGUGGGUAACGGCUCACCAGGGCGACGAUCCGUAGCUGGUUUGAGAGGACGACCAGCCACACUGGGACUGAGACACGGCCCAGACUCCCACGGGAGGCAGCAGUGGGAAUUUUGGACAAUGGGGGAAACCCUGAUCCAGCCAUCCCGCGUGUGCGAUGAAGGCCUCGGUGU
This 409-nucleotide ribosomal RNA is filed under the name uncultured microorganism. RNAcentral describes it as "bacterial SSU rRNA". It matches the Rfam family "Bacterial small subunit ribosomal RNA", at positions 9 to 423 of the family's 1533-position model. The record is from RNAcentral.